UCAAAUGAAUUAAGGCGUAGGACGGAUACCUAGGCAUCUAGAGACGAAGAAGGGCGUGGAACCGACGAUACACUUCGGGGAGUUGGAAACAAGCAUAGAUCCGAAGAUUCCCGAAUAGGGCAACCUUUUAUACUUUUUGCUGAAUUCAUAGGCAAAAAAGAGACAACUCAGUGAACUGAAACAUCUUAUUAACUGAAGGAAUAGAAAGCAAACGCGAUUUCCUAAGUAGUGGCGAGCGAAAGGGAAACAGCCUAAACCAAUUUUUAGAAAUUGGGGUUGUGGGAAAACCUAAUAAUAUUAUUAUUUUAUAAUAUGAAAAAAAAAUGGUUAUUUUUUUAAAUUAGACCAAGCAGCUGAAUACUGCGCCAUAGAUGGUGAAAGCCCAGUAGUUAAAAAUUUAAUAAAAGCUAUGUGUUUUUCCCAAGUAAUACGGGACACGUGAAAUCCCGUAUGAAUCCGCGAGGACCACCUCGUAAGGCUAAAUACUCCUAGAUGACCGAUAGUGAAAUAGUACCGUGAGGGAAUGGUGAAAAGAACCCCUGUAGGGGAGUGAAAAAGAGCAUGAAAUCCUACGCUGACAAACAGUGGGAGGUUUUUUUAAACUGACCGCAUGCCUGUUGAAGAAUGAGCCGGCGACUUAGAAAAGGUGGCAUGGUUAAGGAAAUAUUCCGAAGCCGUAGCAAAAGCGAGUCUGAAUAGGGCGAUAAAAUAUAUUAAUAUUUAGAAUCUAGUCAUUUUUUCUAGACCCGAACCCGGGUGAUCUAACCAUGACCAGGAUGAAGCUUGGGUGAUACCAAGUGAAGGUCCGAACCGACCGAUGUUGAAAAAUCGGCGGAUGAGUUGUGGUUAGCGGUGAAAUACCAGUCGAACCCGGAGCUAGCUGGUUCUCCCCGAAAUGCGUUGAGGCGCAGCAGUACAUCUAGUCUAUCUAGGGGUAAAGCACUGUUUCGGUGCGGGCUGUGAGAACGGUACCAAAUCGUGGCAAACUCUGAAUACUAGAAAUGACGAUGUAGUAGUGAGACUGUGGGGGAUAAGCUCCAUUGUCAAGAGGGAAACAGCCCAGACCACCAGCUAAGGCCCCAAAAUGGUAAUGUAGUGACAAAGGAGGUGAAAAUGCAAAUACAACCAGGAGGUUGGCUUAGAAGCAGCCAUCCUUUAAAGAGUGCGUAAUAGCUCACUGGUGCUAGCGUUUUUGCGCCGAAAAUGUCCGGGACUUAAUUACCUGCCGAAGCUGUGGGAUAUUAAUAAAAUUAUUAUAUAUUUAAUUUUUAAUAUAUAUCUAUUGAUAAUUUAUAUCGGUAGGGGAGCGUUCUGCUUUAGGGUGAAGUUUAAGUGUAAAUUUAGAUGGACCAAGCAGAAGUGAGAAUGUCGGCUUGAGUAACGCAAACAUUGGUGAGAAUCCAAUGCCCCGAAAACCUAAGGAUUCCUUUACUAGGUUCGUCCAUGAAGGGUGAGUCAGGACCUAAGGCGAGGCCGAAAGGCGUAGUCGAUGGCAAACAGGUUAAUAUUCCUGUACUAUUUUAUAUUUGAUACCAGGGGACAGAAGAGGUAGCAAUUUGUCGAUAUUGGAUUUCGGUGUAAACUUACAAGGCCGGGGAAAGAAAAAAAACUUAUUCCUAUAUAAAGCUAAGAAGUGAUACAUUUAUAUUUUUUCUAAAAAAUAUAAAUUAAUUUUCUAUCAUAUUCUCAAGAAAAGCCUGUAUUAUCUAUAAAUAUAAAAUACCUGUACCAUAAACCGACACAGGUGGGUAGGUAGAGUAUACUAAGGGGCGCGAGAUAACUCUCUCUAAGGAACUCGGCAAAAUGACCCCGUAACUUCGGAAGAAGGGGUGCCAAGGAGUAAUUUUUUACUUUUUGGCCGCAGUGACCAGGCCCAGGCGACUGUUUAUCAAAAACACAGGUCUCCGCAAAGUCGUAAGACAACAUAUGGGGCUGACGCCUGCCCAGUGCCGGAAGGUUAAAGAAGCGGGUUAUUCUUUUUUAGGAAAAAGCUUGCGACUGAAGCCCCGGUGAACGGCGGCCGUAACUAUAACGGUCCUAAGGUAGCGAAAUUCCUUGUCGGAUAAGUCCCGACCCGCACGAAAGGCGUAACGAUCUGGGCGCUGUCUCGGAGAGAGACUCGGUGAAAUAGACAUGUCUGUGAAGAUGCGGACUACCUGCACCUGGACAGAAAGACCCUAUGAAGCUUGACUGUAGCCUGAAAUUGAAUUUGGGUUUUUUUUGCGCAGUCUAGGUGGGAGGCGUUGAAAAUUUUCUUUUGGGAAAAUUAGAGCCAACAGUGAGAGACCACUCUAGAAAAGCUAGAAUUCUAAUAGUGUUCCUUGAAGCAGGACGCUUGACAGUUUCAGGUGGGCAGUUUGACUGGGGCGGUCAUCUCUUAAAAGGUAACAGAGAUGUGCAAAGGUUCCUUCAGGCUGGACGGAAAUCAGCUGUAGAGUAUAAAGGCAGAAGGGAGCUUGACUGUAAGACCUACAAGUCAAACAGGGGCGAAAGCCGGCCUUAGUGAUCCGACGGUGCCGAGUGGAAGGGCCGUCGCUAAACGGAUAAAAGUUACUCUAGGGAUAACAGGCUGAUCUUCCCCAAGAGUUCACAUCGACGGGAAGGUUUGGCACCUCGAUGUCGGCUCAUCGCAACCUGGGGCGGUAGUACGUCCCAAGGGUUGGGCUGUUCGCCCAUGAAAGCGGUACGUGAGCUGGGUUCAGAACGUCGUGAGACAGUUCGGUCCAUAUCCGGUGUAGGCGUUAGAGCAUUGAGAGGAGUCUUCCAUAGUACGAGAGGACCUGGAAGAACAUACCUCUAGUAUACCAGUUCUUGUGCCAACAGGAAACGCUGGGUAGCUAUGUAUGGAGAAGAUAACCGCUGAAAGCAUCUAAGUGGGAAGCUCACCUCAAGAUGAGUGCCCCCUUUUCUAAUUAAGAAAUAUCGGUCACGGUAAGACUAACCGUUCGAUAGGUAUUAGGUGGAAGUCCAGUAAUGGAUGUAGCUAAAAUAUACUAAUAGACCGAUCGAUUUU
This 3013-nucleotide ribosomal RNA is filed under the name Prototheca wickerhamii. Its description in RNAcentral is "bacterial LSU rRNA". It matches the Rfam family "Bacterial large subunit ribosomal RNA". The record is from RNAcentral. Lineage: Eukaryota; Viridiplantae; Chlorophyta; Trebouxiophyceae; Chlorellales; Chlorellaceae.